This 497-nucleotide ribosomal RNA is filed under the name uncultured bacterium. RNAcentral's name for it is "partial 16S ribosomal RNA". It matches the Rfam family "Bacterial small subunit ribosomal RNA", at positions 28 to 507 of the family's 1533-position model. The record is from RNAcentral.
GAUGAACGCUGGCGGCGUGCCUAAUACAUGCAAGUCGAGCGAACAGACGAGGAGCUUGCUCCUCUGAUGUUAGCGGCGGACGGGUGAGUAAAACGUGGAUAACCUACCUAUAAGACUGGGAUAACUUCGGGAAACCGGAGCUAAUAACGGAUAACAUGUUGAACCGCAUGGUUCAACAGUGAAAGACGGUCUUGCUGUCACUUAUAGAUGGAUCCGCGCCGCAUUAGCUAGUUGGUAAGGUAACGGCUUACCAAGGCAACGAUGCGUAGCCGACCUGAGAGGGUGAUCGGCCACACUGGAACUGAGACACGGUCCAGACUCCUACGGGAGGCAGCAGUAGGGAAUCUUCCGCAAUGGGCGAAAGCCUGACGGAGCAACGCCGCGUGAGUGAAGAAGGUCUUCGGAUCGUAAAACUCUGUUAUUAGGGAAGAACAAAUGUGUAAGUAACUAUGCACGUCUUGACGGUACCUAAUCAGAAAGCCACGGCUAACUACGUG